AGUCCUAAGGGCACAAUAAUUGACCGCCCAUAUCAUCAUACCAGACUUCAGAGAGGAGGGAGAGAGUAGUGGUUGUCUGCGGUCGGGCUUCGGCCAUUGGCGAUCGACUCUUGCACGACCAAGCCAAACAAACCAAGCAACCAUGUCGUCCAAGCAAGGUGGAAAAGCGAAGCCUUUGAAGCAACCAAAGGCUGAUAAGAAAGAAUAUGACGAGGUUGAUAUGGCAAAUAUUCAGAAGAAGAAAGACGAGGAAAAGGCACUGAGGGAGCUGAGGGCGAAGGCAUCCCAGAAGGGUACGUUCGGAGGUACAGGCCUCAAGAAAAGUGGGAAGAAAUGAGUAUUGACAAUAGUCGUCAAUAGAAUCGUUGGGAACUAGAGUGAGUAGAGGCGAUGUCAUAUGGGUCAUUUGAUAAAACUCGUCCUUUGGAGCAUGGGAUUAAGUCAACUUAUCUGAGAUGUUUUCCUGAUUUCCGUGUAGAUGCAUACUCGUUUCAAUGUUGUCUGUCAUGCAUGUGUGGUUGUUUCUUUGAAAAAAAGAUGAUGAUUUUAUGAAAUACGUACUGGUGGUUGUUAGUAUUCCGUGCGAUUUCCUUUUAGGUUUUCAUUGUCCUCUUUGGCUUUUAUUGCAAUUGUUUGGUUUACCGCAUGGUUUUUAAAAACCGGACCGGAUGGUUGGAUCGGAAAAACUGGUAACCGUUCAGCCCCUUGGGUCCGGUAAAUCUUCAAAACCUGUUGAAAAAGUCAGAAAACCGCUGACCUGGGCGGUCGAACCGUUAAACCGUUUAAUUCGGGCAGCUGUUUGCGGGUUAUCAUUUUUAUUUUCACUGAUUUAAAUAAAAUAAAAAAACAAAAAACAAAAUGACUCCAUAUCCUCAAUCCCCAUCUCUUACGUUUAGGGUUAGAACGCGAUCCCAUUUUCGUUCUAACCCCUUCCCUCUUCUCAUCCAUCACAUCCAAUCAAACACCUAUGGCGUCCGACGGUGACACACAGUUGUGGUGAGCUUUGUCUAUGGCGUACAGCAUUGAUUUUACAACAGAUCUAAUAGCAACAGUUGUGGAUUGCGCUGCGGCAGUAAUAGGUCCAGCGGCCGAUGAUUUUGCAACCUUACUUGUACUGGCGGUGAUGACCGAACUGUUCAAC
Long non-coding RNA from Nelumbo nucifera (sacred lotus), 1141 nucleotides. RefSeq lists it as uncharacterized. NCBI's taxonomy places the organism in Eukaryota, Viridiplantae, Streptophyta, Magnoliopsida, Proteales, Nelumbonaceae. The record is from RefSeq and is a predicted model, not a curated record.